Molecule: small nuclear RNA, 97 nt
Organism: Nicotiana attenuata
Lineage: Eukaryota; Viridiplantae; Streptophyta; Magnoliopsida; Solanales; Solanaceae
Rfam family: U5 spliceosomal RNA
About the family: U5 RNA is a component of both types of known spliceosome.
Source: Rfam
AAUUACGCUAGCGAACUAUUCUUUCGCCUUUUACUAAAGAAUACUGUGUGUAUAGUGGCAUACGCCUAUUUUUGGAGGGGUUCUCAAAUUGAGUUUG